GUGUCAGCAGCCGCGGUAAUACAGAGGGUGCAAGCGUUGCUCGGAUUUACUGGGCGUAAAGCGUACGCAGACGGCAAGGUCGGUCGAAUGUGAAAGCCCAGGGCUCAACCCUGGAACUGCAUUCGAAACCUCCUUGCUCGAGUAUGAGAGAGGGAAGCGGAAUUCCUGGUGUAGAGGUGAAAUUCGUAGAUAUCAGGAGGAACAUCGGCGGCGAAGGCGGCUUCCUGGCUCAUUACUGACGUUCAGGUACGAAAGCGUGGGUAGCAAACAGGAUUAGAUACCCUGGUAGUCCACGCUGUAAACGAUGUGUGCUGGGUGUCGGGGGUAUCAACUCCUUCGGUAUCGAAGCUAACGCGAUAAGCACACCGCCUGGGGAGUACGGCCGCAAGGUUGAA
This 395-nucleotide ribosomal RNA is filed under the name uncultured bacterium. Its description in RNAcentral is "bacterial SSU rRNA". It matches the Rfam family "Bacterial small subunit ribosomal RNA", at positions 505 to 898 of the family's 1533-position model. The record is from RNAcentral.